RNAcentral lists this long non-coding RNA (788 nucleotides) under Homo sapiens (human). RNAcentral's name for it is "HSALNT0146728". The record is from RNAcentral. Lineage: Eukaryota; Metazoa; Chordata; Mammalia; Primates; Hominidae.
UUUUAGAUUGUUUAUUAUUGGAAAUAUCAGAUUUCCCUUAUUAUAAUUGUGAAGUUCAUAUGCUCUAUUGAGAAUUUCUUUAGACUCAUAGUCUACUGUACUGGGUUUAAAUCUGAAGAUUCCAAUUAUGAGCUAUAUGAUUAUCUGCCAACAUGUUUUCUCAUGCAUCGAGCUGAAAAUUUAUCUUUCAAGGCUGGGUGAGCGGUACAUCAGACAACAUUACUAUAAAACGUUCCACAAAUAUUAGGGAACAUAUCUCCUGCCUCACUUAUGAAAUGGUUCUGCAGUCCUCCCCAGAAGGCAGCUUUACAGGGAAGCGCUUAUCAAUUACGUGUUAUUGUUUCAUGAUGGUGAUUUUUUUCAUGAUUCAUCCGAAAGAUUUGCAAAUGAAAUAUUCCAUAAAGCAAGACAACCUUGAAAAUGCCAUAGUUUCAGAAAAGCUGGAUAAGAUAAUCAGCUGUUAUUGAAACUAAGCUUGAUGUGAUUUGGUAUCAUGCUCUGAGCUUGUCACUAAGAAUAUCUGAUCUCUACCCAUAAACAAACUGUUUAAAAACUAGUUAAAAGCUAUCAGCACUAAGAAUGAUUGAAUUUAUUUAACUUAGUGCUGAAUAUACUGUAGAUACUAAACAACUACGUACUAUACGACCAAUACCGGAAAAAUAUUCCAUUAACUAGUCAUUUUCUAGAAAACCUUUCAAUGUUGUUUGACUAGUUUUAAAUCAAAUUCAUAAUUUGAUUUUGUAUAACUUGAUUUUGGAAUAAUGCUUUUUGUUUCUCAGACUUGCCCA